UUGGAGGGCAAGUCUGGUGCCAGCACCCGCGGUAAUUCCGGCUCUAGUAGCGUAUAUUAAAGUUGUUGCAGUUAAAAAGCUCGUAGUCUGACUUCGGGCUGGGCUGUGAAGGCUCACCGCAAGGUGGGACGGAUAGCCUGGCCUUACCCUCUGAUGUGCUCUCUGCUCUUAACUGAGUGGACCUGUCGCACAGAGGCGUUUACCUUGAGCAAAUUGAGGUGUUCAAGGCAGGCAUAAUCGCUCGUACACGUUAGCAUGGGAUAAUGAAAUAGGGCCUUGGGUUCGCUGUUGCCGGUUGGUGAGCCCGGGCAAUGAUCAACAGGGGCGGUCGGGGUGCUUCAUAUGCAGGCGCUAGAGGUGAAAUUCUUGGACCGUCUGCAGAUGCCCAGAUGCGAAAGCGUUGCACCAGUACGUCCCCAUUGAUCAAGAACGAAAGUUAAGGGAGCGAAGACGAUCAAAUACCGUCGUAGUCUUAGCCCUAAACGAUACCGACCAGGGAUCGAGGAUAGUCCCAUGGUUGACUCCUUCGGCGCCUUACGGGAAAC
RNAcentral lists this ribosomal RNA (545 nucleotides) under uncultured eukaryote. Its description in RNAcentral is "bacterial SSU rRNA". It matches the Rfam family "Eukaryotic small subunit ribosomal RNA", at positions 548 to 1098 of the family's 1831-position model. The record is from RNAcentral.